RNAcentral lists this ribosomal RNA (1766 nucleotides) under Bothriomiris sp. UNSW ENT 00029094. RNAcentral describes it as "partial large subunit ribosomal RNA". It matches the Rfam family "Eukaryotic large subunit ribosomal RNA", at positions 490 to 1801 of the family's 3401-position model. Lineage: Eukaryota; Metazoa; Arthropoda; Insecta; Hemiptera; Miridae. The record is from RNAcentral.
AAGGAGAGAUUCACGUUUUCUCGCUGGGCUGACGUCCCGCUUCUUGUCGACGGUUUUACUCCUGUUCGGAUUCGUCCGGUGCAGCGAAGUAUAACUGCCAAAAGCGGGUUCGAAAGACCGCGGAAGACCGCACUUCUCUCCUAGUAAGACGUCGUGACUCGUCCGGCCGUGGUUUAAGGGUUUGGGCGGUAGUCUGUCUGAUCUUCUUUAUCGAAGCAUCGGGCAGGCCCCCUUUACCCCAACCACGGACGAUCCGGUCGGUAUCAAAAGACAGUGUCGAACCGUUCCCGCUGGAAGAGAAAUCUUUCGAAGAGAACGCAAAUGCCCUUGGCAAGGCCGGGAGUAGCUCCGUCAAGGCGGGUUUACCCGUCUGACGACUCUCCUGCCUGUUGGUCGAGUGUGCACUUUUGCCGGUUAAACAAUUUAUGGCACUAGUCAACGGCGAAUCAGUUUUGGGCUCUUGUCCGACCCGUCUUGAAACACGGACCAAGGAGUUUAGCGUGUGCGCGAGUCAUUGGGUAAAAAACCUAAAGGCGAAAUGAAAGUGAAGGAAACUGAUCUUUCCGAGGGAAGAUGGGUUGUUAGUCUCUUUAAAAGGGCUCGCCCCGCACUCCCGGGGCGUCUCUAUCUCAUUGCGAGAGGAGGCGCACCCAGAGCGUACACGCUGAUACCCGAAAGAUGGUGAACUAUGCCUGGCCAGGACGAAGCCAGGGGAAACCCUGGUGGAGGUCCGCAGCGAUUCUGACGUGCAAAUCGAUCGUCGGAGCUGGGUUUAGGGGCGAAAGACCAAUCGAACCAUCUAGUAGCUGGUUCCCUCUGAAGUUUCCCUCAGGAUAGCUUGCGCUCGGAAAGAGAAGAGUCUCAUCCGGUAGAGCGAAUGAUUAGAGGCCUUGGGGUCGAAACGACCUCAACCUAUUCUCAAACUCCAAAUAGAUGAGAACCCGGGCUUUCUUGAACAAAAAAUGUUUUUGAAGCCGGGGGCUCGGAUCAGAGUGCCAAGUGGGCCAAUUUUGGUAAGCAGAACUGGCGCUGUGGGAUGAACCAAACGCGGAGUUAAGGCGCCUCAAUCGACGCUCAUGUGAAACCAUGAAAGGCGUUGGUUGCUUAAGACAGUAGGACGGUGGCCCUGGAAGUCGGAAUCCGCUAAGGAGUGUGUAACAACUCACCUACCGAAGCAACUAGCCCUGAAAAUGGAUGGCGCUGUAGCGUCGUGCCUAUACUCCGCCGUCAACGGCAACGCAGGCGGUCCUUCAUUGGGCGGCGCUGUUAAGCUUUGACGAGUAAGAGGGCCGCGGCGAUGAGCGCAGAAGGGUCUGGGCGUAAGCCUGCCUGGAGCCGUCGUCGGUGCAGAUCUUGGUGGUAGUAGCAAAUACUCCAGCGAGGCCCUGGAGGACUGAUGUGGAGAAGGGUUUCUUGUGAACAGCUGUUGCACAAGAGUCAGUCGAUCCUAAGCCCUAGGAGAAAUCCGAAGCGAUGGGUUGCCAUUAAUCUUUACUUUACAAAAACAAAGAAAGAGGGCACCGUUUUGGGCGAAAGGGAAUCUGGUUCCUAUUCCAGAACCCGGCAGUGGAACCGUUUCAAAUCGGGCCCUCAUUGAGGACUCGUCAGGGCAACCUGAGAAGACCCGGAGACGCCGUCUGGAGGUUCGGAGAGAGUUGUCUCUUCUCUAUAAGCGUUCGAGUUCCCUGGAAACCUCUAGCAGGGAGAUAGGGGUUUGGAACGCGAAGAGCACUGCAGUUACGGCAGUGUCCGAAUCUUCCCCACGG